This 168-nucleotide unclassified non-coding RNA is filed under the name uncultured Oidiodendron. Its description in RNAcentral is "sequence contains ITS1". Lineage: Eukaryota; Fungi; Ascomycota; Leotiomycetes; Myxotrichaceae. The record is from RNAcentral.
CAGAGUUCUCGCCCUCGCGGGUAGACCUCCCACCCACUGUGAUCGCUACCGUCGUUGCUUUGGCGGGCCGCCGGGCCCCGCCCGGCCACCGGCCCCGGCUGGUGCGCGCCCGCCAGAGGCACCGCAAACUCGUGAUGUCAGCGUCGUCUGAGCACUAUACAAUAGUUA